GCCAGUCGUGGUGGCACAAACCUGUAAUCCCAGCUACUUGGGAGGCUGAGUCGUGAGAAUUGCUUGAACCUGGGAGGCGGAGGUUGCAGUGAGCCAAGAUCACGUGCACUCCAGCCUGGGGGACAGAGUGAGACUCUGUCUCAAAANNNNNNNNNNUUUUGAGACAGAGUCUCACUCUGUCCCCCAGGCUGGAGUGCACGUGAUCUUGGCUCACUGCAACCUCCGCCUCCCAGGUUCAAGCAAUUCUCACGACUCAG
Non-coding RNA from Chlorocebus sabaeus (green monkey), 257 nucleotides. It matches the Rfam family "Metazoan signal recognition particle RNA". From Rfam's summary of the family: The signal recognition particle (SRP) is a universally conserved ribonucleoprotein. It is involved in the co-translational targeting of proteins to membranes. Lineage: Eukaryota; Metazoa; Chordata; Mammalia; Primates; Cercopithecidae. The record is from Rfam.